This is a long non-coding RNA of Amblyraja radiata (thorny skate), 71 nucleotides long. RefSeq lists it as uncharacterized. The transcript is spliced from 3 exons. The record is from RefSeq and is a predicted model, not a curated record. NCBI's taxonomy places the organism in Eukaryota, Metazoa, Chordata, Chondrichthyes, Rajiformes, Rajidae.
GUCUUGGAGCUCUGUGAUGAGUUUGGAGGGGGUGAUAGCAUUGAAUGCCAAGCUCUAGUUAAUGAACAGCA